Molecule: long non-coding RNA, 705 nt
Filed under: Helianthus annuus (common sunflower)
Lineage: Eukaryota; Viridiplantae; Streptophyta; Magnoliopsida; Asterales; Asteraceae
Description: hypothetical non coding rna
Source: RNAcentral
UUACAAAGAUGAUUAGAUUGCUGAUGGUUGGGCGCAAAUAUGAAACCUUCAACGAUCUCUACAACAAUUUUAGGGCUUAUAAAAUCUUUAUUCUGUUCUGAAGUUAUAUUUAUCAAUUUCUCAGUGAUUUGAAGGUUACAACGAGCUAAGAUCCAAUGUUUUCGCGACCACUUGUUAAACAAACAACAACAACUGUUUCUAUGACCACAUGUCCGACUAAGAUCCAACACCUUUAGUCUCGUCCUGGCCCGAACUAAUUUUAGAACACGUUUGAUCCAAACCCGUUACCCAGCCCAGUCUGACCCAUUUUACCUGGUAUAUGUCUACACAAUAACCCAUAAGGUAAAUAAUCAUCCUAAAUUACAAAAAUGCCACCAACAACAGUUCUAAUUCGUGCACUUUGUGGAUUUCCAUGGUAUGUCAACGAAAGGGGAUAAGAUGUUUGCAGCUUUGAUAAUUGGUUUGGCUGUGUUUGCGAAUGUAGUUAAUAUAUACAACGAUGCAUAUGCAUUUUUCAAGAGAAACCCUUCUCCUCGUGCUUGAGUUUUGUGGCGCCGAUGGAGCCAAACUUUGUAUAAAAUGAUUGUUUAUUCAAACAUGUUUUGUUAAGUGCAAGAGAACUUGCUUCAGCGCGAUGUUUGUAAUAUAUGCUUGUACUAAAGAAUCAUAUUGUUGUUGAAUUUAUAGGCUUGCACGUUGACGUGC